AAAAACCUCAGGUUUUUGGAGGAAGGUUCGUCCGCUCCAAGUUAGGCGGGAGCUAAGGUCAGGCCGAAAGGCGUAGCCGAUGCACAGACGGUAGAGAUUCCGUCCCCACCGAAAGAUUUAAGCACAGGGACACUUUUUGAAGGUCGGAGCCAGGUGUUGGUUCUGGUAGUGAUCGAGGGAAAUAUAGUACCGAAGUCCGGCUGGAAGAGAGGCGAGAAAAGCUGUGUGUAUAUCUAAGGUGCCCGUACCGCAAACCGACACAGGUAGGUAGGAAGAAGAUUCUAAGGCCAACGGGAGAAGGGUUGUUAAGGAACUCGGCAAGUUGACCCCGUAACUUCGGAAUAAGGGGUGCUCACGAGAGUGAGCCGCAGAGAAUAGGCCCAGGCAACUGUUUACCAAAAACACAGGUUUGUGCUAAAUCGAAAGAUGACGUAUACGAGCUGACGCCUGCCCGGUGCUGGAAGGUUAAAAGGAGAUGUGCAAGCAUUGAAUUGAAGCCCCAGUGAACGGCGGCCGUAACGAUAACGGUCCUAAGGUAGCGAAAUUCCUUGUCAGGUAAGUUCUGACCCGCAUGAAAGGCGUAAUGAUCUGGGCACUGUCUCAACAGCCCGCCCGGCGAAAUUGUAGUACCGGUGAAGAUGCCGGUUACCCGCGACAAGACGGAAAGACCCCAUGGAGCUUUACUGUAGCCUGAUAUUGGGUUUCGGUGUUGCAUGCACAGGAUAGAUGGGACACUGGGAAGCGGAUGCUUUGGCGUUCGCGGAGUGGACGUUGGGAUACCAUCCUUGCGACAUUGGAAUUCUAACCUGCGCCUCUGAAUCGAGGCGGGGGACAUUGUCAGGUGGGCAGUUUGACUGGGGCGGUCGCCUCCUAAAAAGUAGCGGAGGCGUUCAAAGGUUCGUUCGAUCUGGACGGAAACCAGAUGAUUGAGUGCAAACGCAUAAACGAGCCUGACUGCGAGACUGACGGGUCGAGCAGAGACGAAAGUCGGAGUUAGUGAUCCGGUGGUAUGUGAGUGGAAAUGCCAUCGCUCAACGGAUAAAAGUUACCCUGGGAUAACAGGCUGAUCUCCCCCAAGAGUCCACAUCGACGGGGAGGUUUGGCACCUCGAUGUCGGCUCAUCGCAUCCUGGGGCUGAAUUCGGUCCCAAGGGUUUGGCUGUUCGCCAAUUAAAGCGGUACGCGAGCUGGGUUCAGAACGUCGUGAGACAGUUCGGUCCCUAUCUGUCGUGGGCGCAGGAUAUUUGAAAGGCGCUGUCCCUAGUACGAGAGGACCGGGAUGGACGAACCUCUGGUGCACCAGUUGUCACGCCAGUGGCACAGCUGGGCAGCUAUGUUCGGAUCGGAUAAACGCUGAAAGCAUCUAAGCGUGAAGCCGGCCUUAAGAUAAGAUAUCCCACUGAGUCAAUCAGGUAAGACCCCUUGAAGACUACAAGGUUGAUAGGCACACAGUGUAAGCGGAGUGAUCCGUUCAGCUAGCGUGUACUAAUAGGUCGAGGGCUUGAUC
This 1506-nucleotide ribosomal RNA is filed under the name metagenome. Its description in RNAcentral is "bacterial LSU rRNA". It matches the Rfam family "Bacterial large subunit ribosomal RNA", at positions 1339 to 2925 of the family's 2925-position model. The record is from RNAcentral.